RNAcentral lists this ribosomal RNA (245 nucleotides) under uncultured Actinomycetales bacterium. Its description in RNAcentral is "partial 16S ribosomal RNA". It matches the Rfam family "Bacterial small subunit ribosomal RNA", at positions 88 to 334 of the family's 1533-position model. The record is from RNAcentral. Lineage: Bacteria; Bacillati; Actinomycetota; Actinomycetes; Actinomycetales.
UGCUCGAGUGGCGAACGGGUGAGUAACACGUGAGUAACCUGCCCUUGACUUUGGGAUAACUUCAGGAGACUGGGGCUAAUACCGGAUAGGAGCUCCUGCUGCAUGGUGGGGGUUGGAAAGUUUCGGCGGUUGGGGAUGGACUCGCGGCUUAUCAGCUUGUUGGUGGGGUAGUGGCUUACCAAGGCUUUGACGGGUAGCCGGCCUGAGAGGGUGACCGGCCACAUUGGGACUGAGAUACGGCCCAG